Molecule: ribosomal RNA, 498 nt
Filed under: uncultured bacterium
Lineage: Bacteria
Description: partial 16S ribosomal RNA
Rfam family: Bacterial small subunit ribosomal RNA
Source: RNAcentral
GACGAACGCUGGCGGCGUGCCUAAUACAUGCAAGUCGAACGAGAGCGACCGGUGCUUGCACUGGUCAAUCUAGUGGCGAACGGGUGAGUAACACGUGGGUAACCUGCCCAUCAGAGGGGGAUAACAUCCGGAAACGGAUGCUAAAACCGCAUAGGUCUUCGAACCGCAUGGUUUGAAGAGGAAAAGAGGCGCAAGCUUCUGCUGAUGGAUGGACCCGCGGUGCACUAGCUAGUUGGUGAGGUAACGACUCACCAAGGCCGUGAUGCAUAGCCGACCUGAGAGGGUGAUCGGCCACAUUGGGACUGAGACACGGCCCAAACUCCUACGGGAGGCAGCAGUAGGGAAUCUUCCGCAAUGGACGCAAGUCUGACGGAGCAACGCCGCGUGAGUGAAGAAGGUUUUCGGAUCGUAAAACUCUGUUGUUAGAGAAGAACAAGUGCUAGAGUAACUGUUAGCGCCUUGACGGUAUCUAACCAGAAAGCCACGGCUAACUACGUG